Capsicum annuum is the source of this 107-nucleotide non-coding RNA. The record is from Rfam. Lineage: Eukaryota; Viridiplantae; Streptophyta; Magnoliopsida; Solanales; Solanaceae.
UGAUUACGGUGAGGGAAAUUUCAAAGCAUACCUUUAAAUCUUUCCCAAUCUUGGUAAAGAUUUUCUCCUUCUUUCUACUCAAAACUCAGGAUCUCACUUCUCAAUCG